GAGAAUCAAGAAUCCCGGUAAAAGAGGAUUUUAAAUUGGGUUGUUGCCAUCGUCAUCUAAUACCCUAAUAUUUCAACUAAUACACCAUAUAUAAAUAAAUAAAGCACUAACUCCUCCUACACUUCAAUGGGAAGUCCAAUAUCCUCUCUUUCAGUUUUACCCUAAAAACUCUUCUCAGGCAAAAUUAAAGCAGUCCCUCAUUUUUUAAUAACUUUUCAUGAUUUCAAAGAGUACAUCACAUGUGGCUAAUCUUCUGUUCUAGGUUUAUAUUUUCGCAGUCAAUUAUUUAAAUGGCUUAUUGUUCUGAACUCAAAACGAUUUCAUACUUUUGGAUUUUUCUUUUCAUAUGCUAACUUUCUUUGGUUAUUCAUCCUUUUCUAUUUUGUUUGUUUGUCAACUGUAGAUGUGGCUUUUGGAGAUGGUGAUGAUGACAAUAAGAGCUCCAUAAUACGUCGAUUAAUUAAUCGGGAUCUUGUAAGACACAACAAUUUCUAUUGACAAGGGAACUAUGGAGAUAACAAGACAUGCUUUGAUGAAUCUCUACAGUUGUUUUCAUCUGCUUUUGGGAUCUCUUUCUUCGUUUAGUUUUUUUUUUCUGCUAUGAUUUUAGUCUUUUUUGUUAAUAUUUAUGAUGAUUAAUCUAUUGUAUUAUGUUGUAAGUUUCUAUGUAUGUCGAUUAUAUAUUUCUGAAAACUUUCAUAAUAAUAAAAAAUAGCUAAAAUGUUGUGAA
RNAcentral lists this long non-coding RNA (730 nucleotides) under Brassica napus (rape). Its description in RNAcentral is "long non-coding RNA (BNAP_LNC010001)". Lineage: Eukaryota; Viridiplantae; Streptophyta; Magnoliopsida; Brassicales; Brassicaceae. The record is from RNAcentral.